RNAcentral lists this ribosomal RNA (102 nucleotides) under uncultured bacterium. Its description in RNAcentral is "partial 16S ribosomal RNA". The record is from RNAcentral.
AUGACGGCCUUCGGGUUGUAAACCUCUUUCACCAUUGGCGAAGCCUUUGGGUUUUCUCUUGGGUGACGGUAGGUGGAGAAGAAGCACCGGCCAACUACGUGC